UGGGGAAUAUUGCACAAUGGGGGAAACCCUGAUGCAGCGACGCCGCGUGAGCGAAGAAGGUUUUCGAAUCGUAAAGCUCUGUCCUAUGGGAAGAUAAUGACGGUACCAUAGGAGGAAGCCCCGGCUAACUACGUGCCAGCAGCCGCGGUAAUACGUAGGGGGCAAGCGUUGUCCGGAAUCACUGGGCGUAAAGGGUUCGCAGGCGGAAAUGCAAGUCAGUUGUGAAAGGCAGAGGCUCAACCUCUGUAAGCAAUUGAAACUGUAUUUCUUGAGAUGUUGAGAGGCAAGUGGAAUUCCUAGUGUAGCGGUGAAAUGCGUAGAUAUUAGGAAGAAUACCGGUGGCGAAUGCGACUUGCUGGACACAAACUGACGCUGAGGAACGAAAGCGUGGGUAGCAAACAGG
RNAcentral lists this ribosomal RNA (403 nucleotides) under Fusobacteriota bacterium. RNAcentral's name for it is "Fusobacteria bacterium partial 16S ribosomal RNA". It matches the Rfam family "Bacterial small subunit ribosomal RNA", at positions 355 to 776 of the family's 1533-position model. Lineage: Bacteria; Fusobacteriati; Fusobacteriota. The record is from RNAcentral.